GGGGAUGUGGUCUAGGGGUAUGAUUUUCGCUUCGCAUGGUUUCCAUAUGAUUGUGAACGGUCGCGGGUUCAAUUCCCGCCGUCUCCA
This is a non-coding RNA of Aaosphaeria arxii CBS 175.79, 87 nucleotides long. The record is from the annotation of a RefSeq genome assembly. Lineage: Eukaryota; Fungi; Ascomycota; Dothideomycetes; Pleosporales.